GUACACUCCUGCGGGAGGCAGCAGUGGGGAAUUUUGGACAAUGGGCGAAAGCCUGAUCCAGCAAUGCCGCGUGAGUGAAGAAGGCCUUCGGGUUGUAAAGCUCUUUUGUCAGGGAAGAAACGGUGAAAGCUAAUAUCUUUUGCUAAUGACGGUACCUGAAGAAUAAGCACCGGCUAACUACGUGCCAGCAGCCGCGGUAAUACGUAGGGUGCAAGCGUUAAUCGGAAUUACUGGGCGUAAAGCGUGCGCAGGCGGUUUUGUAAGUCUGAUGUGAAAUCCCCGGGCUCAACCUGGGAAUUGCAUUGGAGACUGCAAGGCUAGAAUCUGGCAGAGGGGGGUAGAAUUCCACGUGUAGCAGUGAAAUGCGUAGAUAUGUGGAGGAACACCGAUGGCGAAGGCAGCCCCCUGGGUCAAGAUUGACGCUCAUGCACGAAAGCGUGGGGAGCAAACAGGAUUAGAAACCCCGGUAGUCC
RNAcentral lists this ribosomal RNA (473 nucleotides) under uncultured organism. Its description in RNAcentral is "partial 16S ribosomal RNA". It matches the Rfam family "Bacterial small subunit ribosomal RNA", at positions 331 to 796 of the family's 1533-position model. The record is from RNAcentral.